RNAcentral lists this small RNA (46 nucleotides) under pig gut metagenome. RNAcentral describes it as "Streptococcus sRNA SpF59 (ldcC RNA)". It matches the Rfam family "Streptococcus sRNA SpF59 (ldcC RNA)". The record is from RNAcentral.
CCACCUUUUAAGGUUAAGCCCAUACGGACAGGCGGGGCAGCUGCCG